AUUGAACGCUGGCGGCAUGCCUUACACAUGCAAGUCGAACGGUAACAGGUUAAGCUGACGAGUGGCGAACGGGUGAGUAAUAUAUCGGAACGUGCCCAGUCGUGGGGGAUAACGUAGCGAAAGCUACGCUAAUACCGCAUACGAUCUACGGAUGAGAGCGGGGGAUCGGAAGACCGCGCGCGAUUGGAGCGGCCGAUAUCAGCUUAGGUUGUUGGUGAGGUAAAAGCUGACCAAGCCGUCGAACUGUAGCUGGUCUGAGAGGACGACCAGCCACACUUGGACUGAGACACGGACCAGACUCCUACUGGAGGCAGCAGUGGGGAAUUUUGGACAAUGGACGCAAGUCUGAUCCAGCAAUGCCGCGUGCAGGACGAAGGCCUUCGGGUUGUAAACUGCUUUUGUACGGAACGAAACGGUGAGCUCUAAUACAGUUUGCUAAUGACGGUACCGUAAGAAUAAGCACCGGCUAACUACGUGCCAGCCGCCGCAGUAA
This 493-nucleotide ribosomal RNA is filed under the name uncultured bacterium. Its description in RNAcentral is "partial 16S ribosomal RNA". It matches the Rfam family "Bacterial small subunit ribosomal RNA", at positions 30 to 523 of the family's 1533-position model. The record is from RNAcentral.